RNAcentral lists this ribosomal RNA (253 nucleotides) under uncultured bacterium. Its description in RNAcentral is "partial 16S ribosomal RNA". It matches the Rfam family "Bacterial small subunit ribosomal RNA", at positions 524 to 776 of the family's 1533-position model. The record is from RNAcentral. RNAcentral also lists the same sequence under 1 other name.
UACGAAGGGUGCAAGCGUUAAUCGGAAUUACUGGGCGUAAAGCGCGCGUAGGUGGUUUGUUAAGUUGGAUGUGAAAGCCCCGGGCUCAACCUGGGAACUGCAUCCAAAACUGGCAAGCUAGAGUAUGGCAGAGGGUGGUGGAAUUUCCUGUGUAGCGGUGAAAUGCGUAGAUAUAGGAAGGAACACCAGUGGCGAAGGCGACCACCUGGGCUAAUACUGACACUGAGGUGCGAAAGCGUGGGGAGCAAACAGG